GGGAGGCGGAGCGGAGGCGUGGGGGCGGAGUCGCCGCGGUCUAGAGGCGGCUGGCUGCGAGCGGCGUCGGAGUCGGUGGUCUUGGUGCCAUGGCCGCCUCGGUGUUCUGCUGCCUGCGGUGUUGCAGGGACGGCGGGACGGGACACAUCCCUCUGAAGGAGAUGCCGGCGGUGCAGCUGGACACGCAGCACAUGGGAACAGAUGUUGUCAUUGUAAAAAAUGGAAGAAGAAUAUGUGGAACGGGAGGCUGUUUAGCCAGUGCCCCUUUACAUCAAAACAAAAGCUACUUUGAAUUCAAAAUCCAGUCCACAGGAAUAUGGGGUAUUGGCGUUGCAACUCAGAAAGUUAACUUGAAUCAGAUUCCUCUUGGCCGAGAUGUGCAUAGUCUGGUGAUGAGGAAUGAUGGAGCCCUAUACCACAACAACGAGGAGAAAAAUAGGCUGCCAGCAAACAGUCUUCCACAGGAGGGAGAUGUGGUGGGUAUUACAUAUGACCAUGUAGAAUUAAAUGUAUAUUUGAAUGGAAAAAAUAUGCAUUGUCCAGCAUCAGGUAUACGAGGGACAGUGUAUCCAGUUGUUUAUGAAAAAUUCAGACAUGUAUAGAAGUAAAGAGAAUGGUAUAAUGAACCCUCAUGUACACAUCACCCAGCUUCAAACAGUUGAUGACAGUGCAAUUUUGGAUUGCCAGUUCAGUGAAUUUUAUCAUACUCCUCCACCUGGUUUUGAAAAAAUAUUAUUUGAACAGCAGAUCUUCUGAAUGUAUUUGUUUUUGAAACUUGUGUUUCUGCACUUUUAAAAGUGUUUACCAUUUAAUAAAGCUUUACCUGACCUGUAGAUGAAAAUAUAUUCUUAAAAAUAUGCUUGUUAAUGUUGUUCAAGGAACCAGUGUAUUCAAGAUACCAUCUGGAAGUUGUGAUUUGAAAUACUUCUGUUUUGUGAGAUGAAAUCAGCAUUUGGGGCAGUUUAUUUAAUUCUUAUUUAAAUAAAUAUAACUAUGGGUUUGAUUAACAGUAUUAAGUGGAAAUAUGUAUAUAGAUAUUUAAAAGGGAAUCUUUCUUACAUAAAAUAUUUGUUUUUAUAAUAGAGAUGUAGAGUUGGGUGGGUUUUUCUCAUUCUGAAAUUUAGACCUCAUUAACUAUUUUAAGUCUACAGUCUAAUUUGUGUCUGAGUGUUCUUUUUUAUAUAGAGUAUAACAAAGGGAUAGAAAAUAUAUUAUUGGCAACUUCUUUUUUGGUGAUUUAUUUACAGUAAAGUGUACCACUUUUCAUAAACUUUAAAUUGCUUACUUUGUAUGUCAUUGCUUUUAAUUUGUUUUGUGAAAGGAGGUGAAUGUUUUGGUAACUGUCAGAGCAAUUUUUUUGAAGACCAUCAUGCUGUGUUAGUUCAAUACCAGAGUAAGUAGUGGUUGAUUGGCAAUGUAGUAUACACUGGCAGACAUUUAGAAUAGUAUGAUGCUUUAAACUUAAUUGUAAAUUAGAUUAUUCUUUUAAGAACUUUUAUUUAAAUGUAUGUUUUUCUGUAACAAAUAAUAAAAUAAUAGUAACUAAUUAGUACUAUAUUAAAUACAUGUUCUUCCUAUUUUGUUAAUUAUACAUUAAAUUUACUUCAUCCUUGAUUAUUUCAGAAGUUCAGAGAAAGUGAGUCCUCUCCAUGACCCUGAGCCUCUGCCAAGUCUUCAGUAAAGAUUUCUUCAAUACCCUACUGACCUGAACUAAGCACUGUACACACUCUGGUAGAGUCUCCUUUGCUAGUGAGCCAAGGACAUAUAUGUUUCACUCCUUUGUGAACAGGAGAAGUAUGUUAUACUAGAAAGCCAUGGGCAUUAGAAUCAGAAAUCUGAAUUGUUAUUUUGCCCUCUAAUUCGGUUACCUCCUCAGCUAAGUUCUUUAGCAUCCCUGAGUUUAAGUUCACCAUUUAUAAAAGGGAUACUCAUAUUCGCUUGAUAAGAUUCUGUAACUAGUUAAAUAAGGUAAUACAUGUAAAAUACCCGAAUCACCAUAGGCACUUAAAGAAUGUAGUUUCCUUGUUGACUCUUAAGCAGUAGUUUUCAUAGGGUCCUCAGACCAGCCUCCUCAAAAACUUUUUAGAAAUGCAUAUUCUUAGGCCCGCCCCAGACCCACUGAAUCAGAAACCGCUGGGGAUAGCACCCAAGAAGCUGUGAACAAGACUUUCAGGUGAUUGUAAUACAUGGUAAAGUUUGAGAACCACUGUUCAGGAGAGAAUGAUUGCCUACUAUAAAUUUUCUAAGGAUUUAAGACUAUUUUUGACCCAUAGGCAAGAGAAUCCUGCAGUGUUUAUUGUUUGUUUGGUAGGUGAAAAUGUGACAAUAUGCUUUGAAAACAUAAAUAUACUUGAGUAAAUUCAUUUACAUAAAACCCAUAUUUACCUCUGAAGAUACAGAAUUGAAUGAUAUUAUUUAUGCAUUUUUGUCUGACUUUCUGAAUCUUAAUUCGUAAAGAACAUGCUUACUUUGGAAAGUGAAUUGAAAUGACUACUGUUUGCUAUCUUUAUAAUGUUAUCUACCUCUUAGUUAUUUUAUUUAAGCCAAAAUUUUUUAAAUUAUCCUGUUCUUUACUCAAGACUAUCUUUUCUGCCUCUAGUCUUAUGGAAUAGGCACAGUACUAAAAUGAUACAUGAGUUGUGCCAUGUCUGUGACAACAGUUUGAUGAAGUAUAGAUGUGUCUUUAAUACGAAGUUACCUAAUCCUCUUGGGAAAAUUACCUUCCUAAACCUAUAACCUCAGUCUAAUCUUAAGGAAGAUAGACAAAUUCCAGUAGAGGGGCAUCCUACAACAUACUUGACUAGUACUCGUCCAAACUGUCAAGGUCAUCAAAAAAAGGGAACGUCAGAAAAACUAUCAUACCCAAGAGGAACUGAGUCCAAGGGGACAUAACAAGUAAAUGUAAUAUGGGAUCCAGGAAGAGAGAAAAGGUAUUAAGUAAAAACCAAGGACGUAUGAAUAGACUGUGGAUUUUAAUAAUAAAGUAUCAAUAUUCAUUUAUUGUAACAAAUGUAUCCUACUAUAAUAUGUUAAUAAUGGGAGAAACUGGGAGAGAGAAUAUGUGGAAAUUCUGUACUACUCAAUUCUUCUGUAAAUCUAAACUAUUCAAAAAAAUAAAGUCUUAAAAAAUUUC
This is an RNA transcript of Mustela lutreola (European mink), 3133 nucleotides long. It is a transcript of the gene named SPRY domain containing 7, with no coding region annotated. The record is from RefSeq and is a predicted model, not a curated record. The transcript has 6 exons. NCBI's taxonomy places the organism in Eukaryota, Metazoa, Chordata, Mammalia, Carnivora, Mustelidae.